UUUUUGGUAGUAUAAUAAUUACGCUAACUUUUCGUGUUAGCAAUGGCUAUUUCAGUCCCGCUUUGGAAAA
Molecule: transfer RNA, 70 nt
Filed under: Xylophagaidae sp. E23
Lineage: Eukaryota; Metazoa; Mollusca; Bivalvia; Myida; Xylophagaidae
Also listed under: 1 other name
Description: tRNA-Glu
Source: RNAcentral